RNAcentral lists this ribosomal RNA (253 nucleotides) under uncultured bacterium. RNAcentral's name for it is "partial 16S ribosomal RNA". It matches the Rfam family "Bacterial small subunit ribosomal RNA", at positions 524 to 776 of the family's 1533-position model. The record is from RNAcentral.
UACGAAGGGGGCUAGCGUUGCUCGGAAUCACUGGGCGUAAAGGGUGCGUAGGCGGGUCUUUAAGUCAGGGGUGAAAUCCUGGAGCUCAACUCCAGAACUGCCUUUGAUACUGAAGAUCUUGAGUUCGGGAGAGGUGAGUGGAACUGCGAGUGUAGAGGUGAAAUUCGUAGAUAUCGGGAGGAACACCAGUGGCGAAGGCAGCUCGCUGGGACGUUACUGACACUGAGGCGCGAAAGCGUGGGGAGCGAACAGG